GAUGAACGCUGGCGGCGUGCCUAAUACAUGCAAGUCGAGCGAACAGACGAUGAGCUUUCUCCUCUGACGUUAGCGGCGGACGGGUGAGUAACACGUGGAUAACCUACCUAUAAGACUGGGAUAACUUCGGGAAACCGGAGCUAAUACCGGAUAAUAUAUUGAACCGCAUGGUUCAAUAGUGAAAGACGGUUUUGCUGUCACUUAUAGAUGGAUCCGCGCCGCAUUAGCUAGUUGGUAAGGUAACGGCUUACCAAGGCAACGAUGCGUAGCCGACCUGAGAGGGUGAUCGGCCACACUGGAACUGAGACACGGUCCAGACUCCUACGGGAGGCAGCAGUAGGGAAUAUUCCGCAAAGGGCGAAAGCCUGACGGAGCAACGCCGCGUGAGUGAUGAAGGUCUUCGGAUCGUAAAACUCUGUUAUUAGGGAAGAACAAAUGUGUAAGUAACUAUGCACGUCUUGACGGUACCUAAUCAGAAAGCCACGGCUAACUACGUG
Molecule: ribosomal RNA, 497 nt
Filed under: uncultured bacterium
Lineage: Bacteria
Description: partial 16S ribosomal RNA
Rfam family: Bacterial small subunit ribosomal RNA
Source: RNAcentral